RNAcentral lists this small nuclear RNA (174 nucleotides) under Neogale vison (American mink). RNAcentral describes it as "Neovison vison (American mink) U4 spliceosomal RNA (ENSNVIG00000014605.1)". The stretch from base 1 to 131 matches the Rfam family "U4 spliceosomal RNA". From Rfam's summary of the family: U4 small nuclear RNA (U4 snRNA) is a component of the major U2-dependent spliceosome. The structure of U4 snRNA from yeast and human has been reported. Lineage: Eukaryota; Metazoa; Chordata; Mammalia; Carnivora; Mustelidae. The record is from Rfam by way of RNAcentral.
AGCUUUGCGCAGUGGCAGUAUCGUAGCCAAUGAGGUUUAUCCGAGGCGCGAUUAUUGCUAAUUGAAAGUUCCAGCCCUCGGAACACAUGCUUUAUUCUUCCGGAGAGGGCAGCCAGUCCCUUGCAACCAAGAGUCCACCAUGAGUCACUUAAUUACCAUAAACUCAGAUAUGAG